AACGAACGCUGGCGGCAGGCUUAACACAUGCAAGUCGAACGCCCUGCAAGGGGAGUGGCAGACGGGUGAGUAACACGUGGGAACAUACCCUUCGGUUCGGAACAACGCCGGGAAACUGGCGCUAAUACCGGAUACGGCUUGAGGGCGAAAGAUUCAUCGCCGAAGGAUUGGCCCGCGUUCGAUUAGCUUGUUGGUGAGGUAACGGCUCACCAAGGCGACGAUCGAUAGCUGGUCUGAGAGGAUGGCCAGCCACAUUGGGACUGAGACACGGCCCAAACUCCUACGGGAGGCAGCAGUGGGGAAUAUUGGACAAUGGGCGCAAGCCUGAUCCAGCCAUGCCGCGUGAGUGAUGACGGCCUUAGGGUUGUAAAGCUCUUUCGCACGCGACGAUAAUGACGGUAGCGUGAGAAGAAGCCCCGGCUAACUUCGUGCCAGCCGCCGCCGUAAC
This 448-nucleotide ribosomal RNA is filed under the name uncultured bacterium. RNAcentral's name for it is "bacterial SSU rRNA". It matches the Rfam family "Bacterial small subunit ribosomal RNA", at positions 29 to 524 of the family's 1533-position model. The record is from RNAcentral.